GAUGAACGCUAGCGGCAGGCUUAAUACAUGCAAGGCGAGGGGCAGCAAUGUCACCGUCGUACGGGUGCGUAACGCGUAUGCAACCUACCUUAUUGUGGGGGAUAACGCAGCGAAAGCUGUGCUAAUACCGCAUAAUCCCUUAGGGGGGAAAGCGGGGGGACCCGUAAGGCCUCGCGCAAUUAGAGCGGCCGAUACCUGAUUAGCUAGUUGGUGAGGUAAAAGGCUCACCAAGGCAACGACGGGUAGCCGGCCUGAGAGGGCGACCGGCCACACUGGGACUGAGACACGGCCCAGACUCCUACGGGAGGCAGCAGUGGGGAAUAUUGGGCAAUGGACGCAAGUCUGACCCAGCGACGCCGCGUGCGGGAUGAAGGCCUUAGGGUUGUAAACCGCUUUCAGCAGGGAAGAAGCGAAAGUGACGGUACCUGCAAAAGAAGCACCGGCUAACUAUGUG
This 454-nucleotide ribosomal RNA is filed under the name uncultured bacterium. RNAcentral describes it as "bacterial SSU rRNA". It matches the Rfam family "Bacterial small subunit ribosomal RNA", at positions 28 to 507 of the family's 1533-position model. The record is from RNAcentral.